Molecule: non-coding RNA, 584 nt
Organism: Myodes glareolus (Bank vole)
Lineage: Eukaryota; Metazoa; Chordata; Mammalia; Rodentia; Cricetidae
Source: RefSeq, a predicted model, not a curated record
CUUGAGGCUUACGACCAGGAGGCAUUCUCAAAAUGACUUGCUAAACAUGCUGUCAGAGCAGUCAUAGAGAAUCCAACGAACCAGCAACUUCACAGCUGAGACCGUCCAAGAGCCAGAGAACUAGCUCUUGCCUGUGGAUCAAGACUUGCUGAUCCAGAGGCCUGAUACAUCUCGAUGCUGAUACAUCGAGAGCCACGGACCAUUAUCAGAGGCUCAAAUGCCAGGACCCCCUGGGAAGUCAUCCUGGAAAUGGUUAAAGGCGUACUUCGAAAGCAGCCGAGGAGUACAAUUGUGGGGAGUGACUGGUAAACCAUGGGCAUAAGGUCUGUCUGGACUUGCUACCUCAGUGAUUGUUAAUUUACCAAGGCAGACUCAUCUUCUCUACAUUAAAGUGUGCUGAUCACCGAGAUGACUUCUGCAAAAGAGAAUUAACUCACCAAGAGGGCAAGCAGAAGGCAGUGGAAGACCCUACUUUCAAACCUGCCACCCUCACGAAGAUUGGGGGAAGGGAGGUGAUAUGGGAGGUUCUUCUGUAUAUGUGUUGCUGUUUUUUGGUUAAUGAAUAAAGAAGCUGGUUUGGCCAA